AGUCGUAACAAGGUUUCUGUAGGUGAACCUGCAGAAGGAUCAUUAGUGAAGAUUUGGGCAGGCCAUACGGAUUACCAAACUUGUGUGUCCCUGGCCGCCUACCCACUAUACAUCCACAAACCCGUGUGCACUGUAGAAGGACCUGGGGAGGAAGAGGACAGCGCGGUCCCACGCGCUGGGCUUGUUUCUCUCGGGUUUUUCUUCGCUAUAAACUCGAAUGGUUAGUAUGAACGUGGAACUUGGUUGGACCGUAACUGGCCAACAAACUAUACACAACUUUCGACAACGGAUCUCUUGGUUCUCCCAUCGAUGAAGAACGCAGCGAAACGCGAUAGGUAAUGUGAAUUGCAGAAUUCCGUGAAUCAUCGAAUCUUUGAACGCACCUUGCGCUCUAUGGCAAUCCGUAGAGCAUGCCUGUUUGAGUGCCAUGAAAUCUCCCACCACAAGCGGUUUUUAUGAAACGGCUUGGCGGACGGGGUCUUGAUGGGCGCCGCUGCCUGUGCUUGACCACAGGCUCGCCCGAAAUGCAUGAGCGGCUUGGGACACUUUGCAUCCGCCUCUCUUGUUGGGAGGAGGCGGCCAAGCAGUGUUUCUCCUGGCAUAGCAUGAUACGUCAUUUGCUAUGUCGCCUAAUGGAGGAUGUUUGGUUGUGUCUGCGUGUGCUUGACUGCCUCUGUGCACAUCCCAAUUUCACUUCUGGUCUCAAAUCAGGUAGGAUCACCCGCUGAACUUAAGCAUAUCAAUAAGCAAGUCG
RNAcentral lists this ribosomal RNA (754 nucleotides) under uncultured fungus. RNAcentral's name for it is "eukaryotic LSU rRNA". The stretch from base 275 to 428 matches the Rfam family "5.8S ribosomal RNA". The record is from RNAcentral. Lineage: Eukaryota; Fungi.